UUCUGGUAGGGAGACCCCCUACCAGAUCUAUGGGCCUUCAGACUGAUAACAGGAAUCCAUAAACACUAUUGUUUUUUAGACAGAAGAGGCUAUAAUGAUCCCUUGCAGGCAAACAGAGACGUAUCAAAAGAGCAAGUCUAAUUUUGUUCAUCCUUUCUCAGGCACAUCAGCAGGAGGAAGAAAAGAAAAGGAGAUUCAGAUGCAGAAUUAUGAAUUCAGACAUCUCAGAUGUGGGAGGCCUUCAGAUAAUCCAGGUCUGGACCUUCCACUGUGUGAGUGCAUAACCUCCACCAAUCGGUCAUGCUGUGUUGGCAACGCGUUUCAUGUAGCCAGUCCUGAACAAAACCAGGCACAACUACAGCAUUUUGAAUGCAGUUGUAUGCUUCCCAGACAGCCAUGGAGGGCACUAAAGAGACCUGCCUGAAUUACUGUCACCCCAAAACGAGUCCCCCUUGGCACUGAAUCUCACCACAACGCAUGUUCAAGGUUGCAGCUAUCAUUUCAAAACUUUCCAGGGGAAAGGGCCAAAUACCCUUACUUUAGAACAGUUUAAAUUUUUGAAUUGGUAGCCAGAGAGGAAAAAAGAACAUUGCCCCUACAGCCCCACCAAAAAUGUACAAUAGGCGAGUUAUUUCAAUUCUAAAAAAAAUUUUAAAAAAGCAGUCAGAAGUAAACAUUUAAUAAAAGAGUUUAUGAUAGUCUGA
This 704-nucleotide long non-coding RNA is filed under the name Anser brachyrhynchus (Pink-footed goose). RNAcentral's name for it is "lncRNA (ENSABRG00000012388.1)". The record is from RNAcentral. Lineage: Eukaryota; Metazoa; Chordata; Aves; Anseriformes; Anatidae.